Molecule: ribosomal RNA, 265 nt
Filed under: uncultured bacterium
Lineage: Bacteria
Description: partial 16S ribosomal RNA
Rfam family: Bacterial small subunit ribosomal RNA
Source: RNAcentral
UACGGAGGGUGCAAGCGUUAUCCGGAUUCACUGGGUUUAAAGGGUGCGUAGGUGGGUUGGUAAGUCAGUGGUGAAAUCUCCGGGCUUAACUCGGAAACUGCCGUUGAUACUAUCAAUCUUGAAUGUUGUGGAGGUAAGCGGAAUAUGUCAUGUAGCGGUGAAAUGCUUAGAUAUGACAUAGAACACCGAUAGCGAAGGCAGCUUGCUACACAAUAAUUGACACUGAGGCACGAAAGCGUGGGGAUCAAACAGGAGUUAGAAACCC